RNAcentral lists this ribosomal RNA (769 nucleotides) under uncultured bacterium. Its description in RNAcentral is "bacterial SSU rRNA". It matches the Rfam family "Bacterial small subunit ribosomal RNA", at positions 62 to 860 of the family's 1533-position model. The record is from RNAcentral.
UCGAGCGAUCUUCUUCGGAAGAGAGCGGCGGACGGGUGAGUAACGCGUGGGUAACCUGCCCUGUACACACGGAUAACAUACCGAAAGGUAUGCUAAUACGAGAUAAUAUGCUUUUAUCGCAUGGUAGAAGUAUCAAAGCUCCGGCGGUACAGGAUGGACCCGCGUCUGAUUAGCUAGUUGGUAAGGUAACGGCUUACCAAGGCGACGAUCAGUAGCCGACCUGAGAGGGCGAUCGGCCACAUUGGAACUGAGACACGGUCCAAACUCCUACGGGAGGCAGCAGUGGGGAAUAUUGCACAAUGGGCGAAAGCCUGAUGCAGCAACGCCGCGUGAGCGAUGAAGGCCUUCGGGUCGUAAAGCUCUGUCCUCAAGGAAGAUAAUGACGGUACUUGAGGAGGAAGCCCCGGCUAACUACGUGCCAGCAGCCGCGGUAAUACGUAGGGGGCUAGCGUUAUCCGGAAUUACUGGGCGUAAAGGGUGCGUAGGUGGUUUCUUAAGUCAGAGGUGAAAGGCUACGGCUCAACCGUAGUAAGCCUUUGAAACUGGGAAACUUGAGUGCAGGAGAGGAGAGUGGAAUUCCUAGUGUAGCGGUGAAAUGCGUAGAUAUUAGGAGGAACACCAGUUGCGAAGGCGGCUCUCUGGACUGUAACUGACACUGAGGCACGAAAGCGUGGGGAGCAAACAGGAUUAGAUACCCUGGUAGUCCACGCCGUAAACGAUGAGUACUAGCUGUCGGAGGUUACCCCCUUCGGUGGCGCAGCUAACGCAU